GUCUACGGCUGCUCCACCCUGAAUGUGCCCCAUCUCAUCUCAUCUGGGAAGCUAAGCAGGGUCUGUCCUGUUUAGUGCUUGGAUGGGAGAAAGGAAGGGGGUUAUGUCA
Molecule: ribosomal RNA, 109 nt
Filed under: Peromyscus maniculatus bairdii (prairie deer mouse)
Lineage: Eukaryota; Metazoa; Chordata; Mammalia; Rodentia; Cricetidae
Source: RNAcentral